RNAcentral lists this ribosomal RNA (468 nucleotides) under uncultured bacterium. RNAcentral describes it as "partial 16S ribosomal RNA". It matches the Rfam family "Bacterial small subunit ribosomal RNA", at positions 28 to 507 of the family's 1533-position model. The record is from RNAcentral.
GACGAACGCUGGCGGCGUGCUUAACACAUGCAAGUCGAACGGAAAGGCCCUGCUUUUGUGGGGUGCUCGAGUGGCGAACGGGUGAGUAACACGUGAGUAACCUGCCCUUGACUUUGGGAUAACUUCAGGAAACUGGGGCUAAUACCGGAUAGGAGCUCCCGCUGCAUGGUGGGGGUUGGAAAGUUUCGGCGGUUGGGGAUGGACUCGCGGCUUAUCAGCUUGUUGGUGGGGUAGUGGCUUACCAAGGCUUUGACGGGUAGCCGGCCUGAGAGGGUGACCGGCCACAUUGGGACUGAGAUACGGCCCAGACUCCUACGGGAGGCAGCAGUGGGGAAUAUUGCACAAUGGGCGGAAGCCUGAUGCAGCAACGCCGCGUGCGGGAUGACGGCCUUCGGGUUGUAAACCGCUUUCGCCCGUGACGAAGCGUGAGUGACGGUAAUGGGUAAAGAAGCACCGGCUAACUACGUG